AACCGAGAUUCCCCCAGUAGCGGCUAGCGAACGGGGAGUAGCCCAGGGCAUGAAUCAGCAUGUGUGUUAGUGGAAGCGUCUGGAAAGGCGCGCGAUACAGGGUGACAGCCCCGUACACAAAAGCGCACAUGCUGUGAGCUCGAUGAGUAGGGCGGGACACGUGGUAUCCUGUCUGAAUAUGGGGGGACCAUCCUCCAAGGCUAAAUACUCCUGACUGACCGAUAGUGAACCAGUACCGUGAGGGAAAGGCGAAAA
Molecule: ribosomal RNA, 255 nt
Filed under: Salmonella enterica subsp. enterica serovar Senftenberg
Lineage: Bacteria; Pseudomonadati; Pseudomonadota; Gammaproteobacteria; Enterobacterales; Enterobacteriaceae
Description: partial 23S ribosomal RNA
Rfam family: Bacterial large subunit ribosomal RNA
Source: RNAcentral